Molecule: ribosomal RNA, 500 nt
Filed under: uncultured bacterium
Lineage: Bacteria
Description: partial 16S ribosomal RNA
Rfam family: Bacterial small subunit ribosomal RNA
Source: RNAcentral
AUUGAACGCUGGCGGCAUGCCUUACACAUGCAAGUCGAACGGCAGCGCGGACUUCGGUCUGGCGGCGAGUGGCGAACGGGUGAGUAAUACAUCGGAACGUACCCUGUUGUGGGGGAUAACUAGUCGAAAGAUUAGCUAAUACCGCAUACGACCUGAGGGUGAAAGUGGGGGACCGCAAGGCCUCACGCAGCAGGAGCGGCCGAUGUCUGAUUAGCUAGUUGGUGGGGUAAAGGCCCACCAAGGCGACGAUCAGUAGCUGUUCUGGGAGGACGAUCAGCCACACUGGGACUUAGACACGGCCGUGACUCCUACGGGAGGCAGCAGUGGGGAAUUUUGGACAAUGGGGGCAACCCUGAUCCAGCAAUGCCGCGUGUGUGAAGAAGGCCUUCGGGUUGUAAAGCACUUUUGUCCGGAAAGAAAUCGCGCUGGUUAAUACCUGGCGUGGAUGACGGUACCGGAAGAAUAAGCACCGGCUAACUACGUGCCAGCCGCCGCGGUAA